CCGGUACCCAAUGUGAACAAGAGUCAAACCAAUUAAGUCAGAUCUACUUUUUUAUGCUAUUAAUGGUAAAUGUUUAUACAUACAUUCUUGUAAUAGAAGGCACAUUGGGCUACUGAAAAUGGUAAAAGAAAAUGAAAGUACCCCUAUUCUAAGGGCUGGCCUCAGCGUCCACGCUUUUCCUCCCCGAAUACAUUUUCUCUGGGACCACCAUCUCAAGGGCUAAGGACAGGGAUGGGCAUCUGGUUGAACCUUGGCCACCCAGAGUGUGCCAUCUCUGACAGUGUGACAUCGGGGUGGACAUUCAACACUGGCCAGGCCAAGAGGCACCAUUCUGGGACAUUUACCACAUCUGUGAAAAGUAAGAAAGCGACUAAGACACCAAGGAAGAUGAGAAACACAUGGAACAGAGCCAAGCCCUGCUGACGUCCUAUUCCAGCCCAUGCUGGAUCCAUCAGCACCCAGACAACCUGCGUGUGCAAUACUCAUUGCCCCUGAGAGUCCAUAGUUGCUUGUUACACAGUGACAGCUGAUCAAUAAUCAGCCAAAUCCCAUCAUUUUAUAAGUGAGGAAACUAAGGCCUUGUGAAGGGAAGACGUUGUUCAAUGGCAUAUAGAUGGUAAAUAACAUCCUCAGUUCUUCUCAUCUAACCCAGGAUUCUGUCUCUCUUUCUACUUCAGGUCAGCGACGGUCACCUAGCAUCUAGUUUGUUCAUUCAUUCAACAAGCUUUAUGCUUCUAGAGAUACAUAGCUGAGUCACCAAAAUGAGAAAGGCA
This 773-nucleotide long non-coding RNA is filed under the name Fukomys damarensis (Damara mole-rat). RNAcentral describes it as "lncRNA (ENSFDAG00000023941.1)". Lineage: Eukaryota; Metazoa; Chordata; Mammalia; Rodentia; Bathyergidae. The record is from RNAcentral.